This 639-nucleotide ribosomal RNA is filed under the name uncultured Actinomycetes bacterium. Its description in RNAcentral is "bacterial SSU rRNA". It matches the Rfam family "Bacterial small subunit ribosomal RNA", at positions 232 to 885 of the family's 1533-position model. The record is from RNAcentral. Lineage: Bacteria; Bacillati; Actinomycetota; Actinomycetes.
CGCGGCCUAUCAGCUUGUUGGUGGGGUAACGGCCCACCAAGGCGACGACGGAUAGCUGGUCUGAGAGGACGAUCAGCCACACUGGGACUGAGACACGGCCCAGACUCCUACGGGAGGCAGCAGUGGGGAAUCUUGCGCAAUGGGGGAAACCCUGACGCAGCGACGCCGCGUGCGGGAUGAAGGCCUUCGGGUUGUAAACCGCUUUCAGCAGGGACGAAAUUGACGGUACCUGCAGAAGAAGGCCCGGCCAACUACGUGCCAGCAGCCGCGGUAAUACGUAGGGGCCUAGCGUUGUCCGGAUUUAUUGGGCGUAAAGAGCUCGUAGGCGGUUCGGCAAGUCGGAUGUGAAAUCUCCACGCUUAACGUGGAGGGGCCAUUCGAAACUGCCGUGACUCGAGUCCGGUAGGGGAGUGUGGAAUUCCUGGUGUAGCGGUGAAAUGCGCAGAUAUCAGGAGGAACACCAGUAGCGAAGGCGGCACUCUGGGCCGGUACUGACGCUGAGGAGCGAAAGCGUGGGGAGCGAACAGGAUUAGAUACCCUGGUAGUCCACGCCGUAAACGUUGGGCACUAGGUGUGGGACUCUAUCGACGGGUUCCGUGCCGUAGCUAACGCAUUAAGUGCCCCGCCUGGGGAGUACGG